RNAcentral lists this ribosomal RNA (471 nucleotides) under uncultured bacterium. RNAcentral's name for it is "bacterial SSU rRNA". It matches the Rfam family "Bacterial small subunit ribosomal RNA", at positions 28 to 508 of the family's 1533-position model. The record is from RNAcentral.
GAUGAACGCUGGCGGCGUGCCUAACACAUGCAAGUCGAACGGGAACCGAUUUCGGUCGGGGAGAGUGGCGCACGGGUGAGUAACACGUAGCUCACCUGCCCUCAAGCGGGGGAUAACGGCUCGAAAGGGCAGCUAACACCCCAUAAGCUCACACGAAGUAGGACAGCGUGAGAAAAACCAAGCUCGCAAGAGCCGUGCUAGAGGCUGGGGCUGCGGCCCAUCAGGUAGUUGGUGCGGUAACGGCGCACCAAGCCGACGGCGGGUAGGGGGCCUGAGAGGGUGACCCCCCACACUGGGACUGAGACACGGCCCAGACUCCUACGGGAGGCAGCAGUGAGGAAUAUUGGUCAAUGGGCGCAAGCCUGAACCAGCGACGCCGCGUGGGUGAUGAAGGCCUUCGGGUCGUAAAGCCCUUUUCUUGGUGACGAGCAAGGACGGUAGCCAAGGAAUAAGUCUCGGCUAACUACGUGC